AGGAGCAACAGCCCUAGUGGUGGGGCCAGCUCUGGAAACCUGGAUUUAGCCCCGCAGGAACUCCGGAGCUCUCCCUCUGCAGGGCCUGGAGGCUCCGGGGCGGG
Molecule: microRNA precursor, 104 nt
Filed under: Canis lupus familiaris (dog)
Lineage: Eukaryota; Metazoa; Chordata; Mammalia; Carnivora; Canidae
Description: mir-8834 microRNA precursor family
Rfam family: mir-8834 microRNA precursor family
Source: Rfam by way of RNAcentral